This 778-nucleotide ribosomal RNA is filed under the name uncultured bacterium. Its description in RNAcentral is "bacterial SSU rRNA". It matches the Rfam family "Bacterial small subunit ribosomal RNA", at positions 28 to 795 of the family's 1533-position model. The record is from RNAcentral.
GAUGAACGCUAGCUACAGUCUUAACACAUGCAAGUCGAGGGGCAGCAUGGUCUUAGCUUGCUAAGACUGAUGGCGACCGGCGCACGGGUGAGUAACACGUAUCCAACCUGCCGUCUACUCUUGGACAGCCUUCUGAAAGGAAGAUUAAUACAAGAUGGCAUCAUGAGUCCGCAUGUUCACAUGAUUAAAGGUAUUCCGGUAGACGAUGGGGAUGCGUUCCAUUAGAUAGUAGGCGGGGUAACGGCCCACCUAGUCUUCGAUGGAUAGGGGUUCUGAGAGGAAGGUCCCCCACAUUGGAACUGAGACACGGUCCAAACUCCUACGGGAGGCAGCAGUGAGGAAUAUUGGUCAAUGGGCGAGAGCCUGAACCAGCCAAGUAGCGUGAAGGAUGACUGCCCUAUGGGUUGUAAACUUCUUUUAUAAAGGAAUAAAGUCGGGUAUGGAUACCCGUUUGCAUGUACUUUAUGAAUAAGGAUCGGCUAACUCCGUGCCAGCAGCCGCGGUAAUACGGAGGAUCCGAGCGUUAUCCGGAUUUAUUGGGUUUAAAGGGAGCGUAGAUGGAUGUUUAAGUCAGUUGUGAAAGUUUGCGGCUCAACCGUAAAAUUGCAGUUGAUACUGGAUAUCUUGAGUGCAGUUGAGGCAGGCGGAAUUCGUGGUGUAGCGGUGAAAUGCUUAGAUAUCACGAAGAACUCCGAUUGCGAAGGCAGCCUGCUAAGCUGCAACUGACAUUGAGGCUCGAAAGUGUGGGUAUCAGACAGGAUUACAUACCCUGGUAGUC